AUUAUCAAGAACGAAAGUUAGAGGUUCGAAGGCGAUCAGAUACCGCCCUAGUUCUAACCAUAAACGAUGCCAGCCAGCGAUCCGGCUGUGUUCCUCAAAUGACACGCCGGGCAGCUUCCGGGAAACCAAAGCUUUUGGGUUCCGGGGGAAGUAUGGUUGCAAAGCUGAAACUUAAAGGAAUUGACGGAAGGGCACCACCAGGAAUGGAGCCUGCGGCUUAAUUUGACUCAACACGGGAAAACUUACCCGGCCCGGACACAGGAAGGAUUGACAGAUUAAGAGCUCUUUCUUGAUUCUGUGGGUGGUGGUGCAUGGCCGUUCUUAGUUGGUGGAGCGAUUUGUCUGGUUAAUUCCGAUAACGAACGAGACUCUAGCCUACUAAAUAGACGUUCCGAUCAUCUCCGUCGGACGUUCUUCUUAGAGGGACAAGCGGCGUUUAGCCGCACGAGACAGAGCAAUAACAGGUCUGUGAUGCCCUUAGAUGUCCGGGGCCGCACGCGCGCUACAUUGAAGGAAUCAGCGUGUGCUUUCCCUGUCCGACAGGACUGGGUAACCCGUUGAACCUCCUUCGUGCUGGGGAUAGGGGCUUGUAAUUGUUCCCCUUGAACGAGGAAUUCCCAGUAAGCACGAGUCAUAAGCUCGUGUUGAUUACGUCCCUGCCCUUUGUACACACCGCCCGUCGCUACUACCGAUUGAAUGAUUUAGUGAGGUCUUCGGACUGGCGCUCGGAGCGGCCCUCGGGUCGCGCCGGCGUGCCGGAAAGAUGACCAAACUUGAUCAUUUAGAGGAAGUAAAAGUCGUAACAAG
This 807-nucleotide ribosomal RNA is filed under the name Sinopoda tengchongensis. Its description in RNAcentral is "SSU rRNA". It matches the Rfam family "Eukaryotic small subunit ribosomal RNA", at positions 973 to 1798 of the family's 1831-position model. Lineage: Eukaryota; Metazoa; Arthropoda; Arachnida; Araneae; Sparassidae. The record is from RNAcentral.